UGAGAACCCUCCCUGUUCCACUCCAGUAGCAGCCAUGUUGCCUGUAGUCCUGUUACUGUUGGUAUCUGCAUCCUGUAUCAGAGGUCAGGUUGUGCUCACACAGUCUCAGCAGGCAGUGCUGGGAACUCCAGGAGGAACUCUUAAACUGACUUGUGCCUGCAGUGGAGUUAAUCUGGGGGGCACAUACAUGAAUUGGAUCCGCCAAGCUCCAGGGAAAGGACUGGAAUGGCUCAUGUAUUACUAUUCUGACAGUAACAAGAACACAGCCCAGACGGUCCAAGACAGAUUUACUGCAUCCAAAGACAGCUCUAAUUUCUACCUGCAUAUGACCCAGCUGAAGACUGAGGACACUGCAGUCUAUUACUGUGCUAGAGAGUCACAGUGGUUAAGCCAAUACAACCAGCUGUACAAAAACAUGACAGAGAGACAUAAGAAGUUACAGACACCUGCUGUAGCAGUGAAAUCAUUUAUGUGUCAAGGGACAGCUGACAACAUCUUGAAAACGAAUGUCUGUCACACAAUAUUUACUUUUUCUCAUGAAACUCAACUGUUCCUCCUUAAUGUAUUGAUUAGCUGA
Non-coding RNA from Sardina pilchardus (European sardine), 577 nucleotides. NCBI's taxonomy places the organism in Eukaryota, Metazoa, Chordata, Actinopteri, Clupeiformes, Clupeidae. The record is from the annotation of a RefSeq genome assembly.